GGCGUCUCAGUUCGGAUUGCAGGCUGCAACUCGCCUGCAUGAAGUCGGAAUUGCUAGUAAUCGCGGAUCAGCAUGCCGCGGUGAAUACGUUCCCGGGCCUUGUACACACCGCCCGUCACACCAUGAGAGCCGGGAACACCCGAAGUCCGUAGUCUAACCAUUAAGGAGGACGCGGCCGAAGGUGGGUUUGGUAAUUGGGGUGAAGUCGUAACAAGGUAGC
This 220-nucleotide ribosomal RNA is filed under the name uncultured bacterium. Its description in RNAcentral is "partial 16S ribosomal RNA". It matches the Rfam family "Bacterial small subunit ribosomal RNA", at positions 1282 to 1500 of the family's 1533-position model. The record is from RNAcentral.